RNAcentral lists this ribosomal RNA (474 nucleotides) under uncultured bacterium. RNAcentral describes it as "bacterial SSU rRNA". It matches the Rfam family "Bacterial small subunit ribosomal RNA", at positions 335 to 799 of the family's 1533-position model. The record is from RNAcentral.
ACUCCUACGGGAGGCAGCAGUGGGGAAUAUUGCACAAUGGGCGCAAGCCUGAUGCAGCCAUGCCGCGUGUGUGAAGAAGGCCUUCGGGUUGUAAAGCACUUUCAGUCGUGAGGAAGGUAGUGUAGUUAAUAGCUGCAUUAUUUGACGUUAGCGACAGAAGAAGCACCGGCUAACUCCGUGCCAGCAGCCGCGGUAAUACGGAGGGGUGCGAGCGUUAAUCGGAAUUACUGGGGCGUAAAGCGCAUGCAGGUGGUUUGUUAAGUCAGAUGUGAAAGCCCGGGGCUCAACCUCGGAAUAGCAUUUGAAACUGGCAGACUAGAGUACUGUAGAGGGGGUAGAAUUUCAGGUGUAGCGGUGAAAUGCGUAGAGAUCUGAAGGAAUACCGGUGGCGAAGGCGGCCCCCUGGACAGAUACUGACACUCAGAUGCGAAAGCGUGGGGAGCAAACAGGAUUAGAUACCCUGGUAGGAUAGCG